AUUCCACAGUGCCUUCCCGCAAUGUAUUUCACUCCUGGUUGUCGUCAACAUGCAAUUCCGGAUGUAGUAAUUUAGAACAGGUAUUUCAUUAACAAACAAUCCACCACAGAUAUACAAUACCCAACUGAACAUCACCUCAUAUUAAUAAUAAUAAUAAUAAUAAUAAUAAUAAUAAUAAUAAUAAUAUAUCAGGCUCAGGAAAGCAGCAUCAGAUGUUCCAUCUGAGGGGCAAAUGGGGUCCACUGGUUCUCUGUGGGGGCGGGGGGUUAGUGAACAGCAUGACUGGAUUAGGCCUUCCUUUGCUCAGUCUGAACUAAUCUGAGCGAUUGCCUAGAGUGACUUGCCUUUCCCAACAAGGCAGGAAAAGUAAAACUUGCCUUGACUUCUGAAACAAACUAACCAUUUUUAAAUGGGUAAUUAAAUAGCUCUCUCUGAAGAGAGAGAGGUACCUGGCCGAGGUACAAAGCUCUCCUCUUAUUUUAUUUUGGAAAUAAGUUUUAUACACGGUUUUCCAAUCGUUGUGUGAAGGUUCUGAGAGGAAUUAUGCGUGGGAAUAGAAAGAAAGUCGUCCCCCGUCCCCCCGAUCUAACUUAAACAUGAAGCAAUUGAUAAAAAUAGGAGAUCAGUUCCCAGGAAUGCGUAAGGGAGCCUGUUUUAUAUCCGAGCUUCAAUAUUAUCUGCUUUCAAAUGUCAUAUAAUCCCAAAUUAAUAACUGUGGUUUACUGUGACUGCACAGUGACAGGGAUAUUGUUAAGUACCGCCUAAAGAGAUGACAUUUGAAAUCAUCAUUUCUUUCAAGAAGAAAAGGAAUGAUUGCCAUAUUUAGAGGCACUUAGCACUGGGACCACUGGUGGCAGUUUGCUGUUCAGCUCCCAGAAAUAAUCGAAUGUUAUUGAAUCAUAUAGAAUCCAUGCCGGCUGCCUGCGCUAUUGCAGCCAUAAAUUAAAAUGACAAUCCAUCGGCUGGCAGCUUCUCCUUGGGAGCAGGCAACUCUAAUCUCGUGUUGUCUUUCCAAAGCAGCUUGCCUGGUACCGCAUGUGCAAUGUGAUUUUCUUUUACAGCUAAAUUAUGACUCCAGUGUGAUUGAUCUCCUCAAGCUAUUUUGAGAUUCCCUGACUGCCUAGAAGUAUCUCUGUUAGACUGUGUAUAUUUGCUAAGGUUGAGGAGUUUGGGGAGGGUGGGGAAGGGAUCUUUCUAUGAUUUCGGUGCCACAAAAUGCUCGUUUGAAAACUGAUUUCUCUUAUUUCUGUGCCCCUCCAUAUGCACACAUUGAAACUAGGGGCAGAGCUCUAAACUAGAGUGAGACAAGCAAGUGUUCUGGCCACCGAUGCAGCUACUUGUAUGAAGUCUCAUACAGAAGUGCUAUUGGUAAAGGGUAUUAUAUUCAUAUUUUAGUUAUUUGUAUCAUACCCCUCUGAGAAUCUCAAGGUAAUAUACAUGGGGUUUGUUGGUUUGUUUGUUUGUUUGAUUUAUUUAUUUAAACUGUUUUUAUACUGCUUAAUCUAUAAAACUGUCUCUAAGUGGUGUACAGAAAACUAAAACAAUUACAACCAAUGCUACAAAAACACACUAAGACAAAUUAUUAAUAAACAAUAUCCUGAUAUCAAUUCCUUCUCCCACUGACACACCUCCCCCAUUCAACAGCUCUCAGCCUCCUGGCUUAGGCCCCAAACAAGCUCACAGAACACCCCACAAUUAUUAUUUUAUAAAAAAUAUAUUUUAUUGGGGGGGAACAAUUACAAAGAAAUAAAGUGAUGCAGAAAAAAAGGAGGGAAAGUGAGGGGCAAAGAUGUAUAUAAGAAAGAAAGAAAGAAAGAAAGAAAGAAAGAAAGAAAGAAAGAACUAUAUAUACCGUAUUUUUUGCACCAUAACACUCACUUUUUUCCUCCUAAAAAGUAAGGGGAAAUGUCUGUGCGUGUUAUGGAGGGAAUGCCUAUGGGUGGCAUGCCUACGGAUUUUCCUCCUCUAAAAACUAUGUGCGUGUUAUGGUCGGGUGCGUGUUAUAGAGCGAAAAAUACGGUACCCCACAAAUGAAGAGGUUUCCUGAAACUUGAUGCCAUAACUCUAGUCUUUCACUCUACUUUUCUGAGCAGGCACAAAGGUUGCUGGAUCCUUCUCAGGCUACUCACUUCCAUCAGCAUCCAGUCAUCCACAGUGUAUACACCCAGUUCCGGGCUACAGCAGGUUUGGUGAGUUUCCCAGGAGGCUCAAAGGAUGACAAAGAAGACACCUCUUCGUUGUGUAAGGGAGUCAUUGGAAGUAAGUGCGAAAGACUAUAUUGAGACCACACCUUUUCUGUGACCUAUCUAUGAUGUCUUGAUGAUGCAUCCUGAGAUGUAUUAUGGGAAAUUUGGGGAGACUUUAAAAAUACUGAUGUAACCAUUGUUCGGGG
Non-coding RNA from Podarcis lilfordi (Lilford's wall lizard), 2392 nucleotides. The record is from the annotation of a GenBank genome assembly. NCBI's taxonomy places the organism in Eukaryota, Metazoa, Chordata, Lepidosauria, Squamata, Lacertidae.